UACGGAGGAUGCGAGCGUUAUCCGGAUUUAUUGGGUUUAAAGGGUGCGUAGGCGGUUUAUCAAGUCAGCGGUUAAAUGUCCGGGCUCAACCCUGGCCUGCCGUUGAAACUGAUGAACUGGAGAUAGUGUGGAGUAUGCUGAAUGCGCAGUGUAGCGGUGAAAUGCAUAGAUAUUGCGCAGAACUCCGAUCGCGAAGGCAGCAUACUAACGCUAAUCUGACGCUGAGGCACGAAAGCGCGGGUAUCGAACAGG
This 252-nucleotide unclassified non-coding RNA is filed under the name uncultured Bacteroidales bacterium. Its description in RNAcentral is "contains 16S-23S intergenic spacer region". It matches the Rfam family "Bacterial small subunit ribosomal RNA", at positions 524 to 776 of the family's 1533-position model. The record is from RNAcentral. Lineage: Bacteria; Pseudomonadati; Bacteroidota; Bacteroidia; Bacteroidales.